RNAcentral lists this long non-coding RNA (434 nucleotides) under Gorilla gorilla gorilla (western lowland gorilla). RNAcentral describes it as "lncRNA (ENSGGOG00000044260.1)". The record is from RNAcentral. Lineage: Eukaryota; Metazoa; Chordata; Mammalia; Primates; Hominidae.
UCACAGAAGAAGGGUGUGGUUAGCACUACCUGGGAAAACUUCACAAAGGAGGUGGUGUUUGAGUGAAGUCUUGAGGUCCCCAGGGCUGCUUACCGGGCAGUGUGGAUGGCAUGCAGUGGGAUGGUGAAGGAUGGGGCCAGAGGAAGGAAGGACAUGCCCGCCCAGCCGUGUUUGGGAUGCUGCCUCCCUGGAGAGGGGUCAUGAAGCCUAGCAGGCAGUGGAGCCCAGAAAAUCACCUUGGUUGGCAUAUUCAGCCAGCAAGAAAGAGAGGAUCAUCAGGCGCAGUGGCUCACACCUGUAAUCCCAGCACUUUGGGCGGCCGAGGAGGGCAGAUCAUGAGGUCAAGAGAUCGAGACCAUCCUGGCCAACAUGGUGAAACCCCGUCUCUACUAAAAAUACAAAAAUUAGCUAGGCGUGAUAGCCUGUGCCUGUAG